UACGUAGGGGGCAAGCGUUGUCCGGAAUUACUGGGCGUAAAGCGUGCGUAGGCGGUUUCUUAAGUCAGAUGUGAAAUCUUGGGGCUCAACCGCAAGCGGGCAUUGGAAACUGGGGAACUUGAGUACGGAAGAGGAGAGUGGAAUUCCACGUGUAGCGGUGAAAUGCGUAGAUAUGUGGAGGAACACCAGUGGCGAAGGCGGCUCUCUGGUCUGUAACUGACGCUGAGGUGCGAAAGCGUGGGGAGCGAACAGG
Molecule: unclassified non-coding RNA, 253 nt
Filed under: uncultured Bacillaceae bacterium
Lineage: Bacteria; Bacillati; Bacillota; Bacilli; Caryophanales; Bacillaceae
Description: contains 16S-23S intergenic spacer region
Rfam family: Bacterial small subunit ribosomal RNA
Source: RNAcentral